Molecule: ribosomal RNA, 119 nt
Organism: Chelonoidis abingdonii (Abingdon island giant tortoise)
Lineage: Eukaryota; Metazoa; Chordata; Testudines; Testudinidae
Source: Ensembl
AUUCAUGGCCAUAUUGGACUAAAUGCACCUGAUCUUGUCUGACCUUAGAAGCUAAACCGUCCCCAGCCUGGCUAAUAUUUGAAUAGGAGACCACCUGGGAAUCUUAAGUGCGAUAGGCA